This 648-nucleotide ribosomal RNA is filed under the name gamma proteobacterium GWS-AG-H177. RNAcentral describes it as "bacterial SSU rRNA". It matches the Rfam family "Bacterial small subunit ribosomal RNA", at positions 64 to 702 of the family's 1533-position model. The record is from RNAcentral. Lineage: Bacteria; Pseudomonadati; Pseudomonadota; Gammaproteobacteria.
GAGCGGUAACAGGGGGAGCUUGCUCCCCGCUGACGAGCGGCGGACGGGUGAGUAAUGCAUAGGAAACUGCCCAGUAGUGGGGGAUAGCCCGGGGAAACCCGGAUUAAUACCGCAUACGCCCUUUGGGGGAAAGCAGGGGAUCUUCGGACCUUGCGCUAUUGGAUGUGCCUAUGUCGGAUUAGCUAGUUGGUGGGGUAAGAGCCUACCAAGGCGACGAUCCGUAGCUGGUCUGAGAGGAUGAUCAGCCACAUCGGGACUGAGACACGGCCCGAACUCUACGGGAGGCAGCAGUGGGGAAUAUUGGACAAUGGGGGCAACCCUGAUCCAGCCAUGCCGCGUGUGUGAAGAAGGCUUUCGGGUUGUAAAGCACUUUCAGUGAGGAGGAAAACCUUACGACUAAUAKUCGUGAGGCUUGACAUUACUCACAGAAGAAGCACCGGCUAACUCCGUGCACAGCAGCCGCGGUAAUACGGAGGRKRCAACGCGUUAAUCGAAAUUACUGGGCGUAAAGCGCGCGUAGGUGGUUUGAUAAGCGAGAUGUGAAAGCCCCGGGCUCAACCUGGGAACGGCAUUUCGAACUGUCAGGCUAGAGUAUGGUAGAGGAGUGUGGAAUUUCCUGUGUAGCGGUGAAAUGCGUAGAUAUAGGAA